CAUGCUGACACAAAAAGGCAGUAAAGACUUUGUUGUAAACACUAAGAGAUCCAUACAUCCAUGGGGUGUGCCACAGCCGCAAAUUACGCCCACUAUUGUGAACAAGGUUCUUAAAGUGAACAUAUCUGGUUUUGUUAUGAGCACAUAGCACUCCAAGCCCAAAAGGCCUCGCAUUGAAUUGAUGCAAGAGAAGGCUUUGAAAAAUAACAGCAGUUUUGUUGUGUGGUCCAAUACGUCCUUCGACUCUCAACCUGAAGAAAGCAAAACUCAAACUCAUCUCUUAGAAAUAUCAGCAAGGCCAGCAUGUCAUCUCAGCUUCUUGAACUUCAGUGAAUUUUACUAGCAAACAUGACAAACGUCAUUGAAGUGAAAGUCGAUGACAACCCCCUUCUUGCAAAAAUACUACAACUCGCUUAAGAAAUUCAGCAUGAAGACGUCUUGCAUCAAACCACCAAGCCUCCUUUCAAUAUCUCCUCCCAUGUUGGCUACAUCAACACUUCCAACAGCAGAGCCUUGGUGAGUAAGACUUCCGUCUCAGCAUCGAUGUCGCUUAGCAACAAUUGGAUGAUGGGCGUCGACAAAUUAUGCCGUACAAGUCGCUCGAACUGAAACGAUCUGAUCCAACAGGUAGAGAGUCCAUUAAUGUGACUACUCGAUAUGUUGUUCUUGAAUAAUGUGAACCUUAGGCCUGGAGAGCAGUAUGCGAUUGACGCCAUUCAACAACAGUUGUUGUCGGCAAUUCUCGGGUUUGAGGUGGCGACUUCAGCGUCGGGACUCGCUCCAUCUCUGUCUGGCCCAGUCACAGCAGCAGCAGCAACAAGAACAAUAAGUAGUAUCUUAGUGGUGUUCUGGGAUAUGGGGCUUCAUGUAUGUGCUUAAAUUGUCAUCCCAGAUUAGCCUGUGCAGACUGCACCUACAUUAAGUCCUAUUAAAUUGUCGUCCCAGAUUAGCGUAUGCAGACUGCACAUACAUAAAGUCCUAUAAAAUUGUCAUCCCAGAUUAGCCUGUGCAAACUGCACAAACAUUACGUCCUAUUAAAGUGUCAUCCCAGAUUAGCCUGUGCAGACUGCACAAACAUUAUGUCCUAUUAAAGUGUCAUCCCAGAUUAGCCUGUGCAGACUGCACAUUAAGUCCUAUUAAAGUGUCAUCACAGAUUUGCCUGUGCAGACUGCACAUACAUUAAGUCCUAUUAAAUUGUCGUCCCAGAUUAGCGUAUGCAGACUGCACAUACAUAAAGUCCUAUUAAAUUGUCAUCCCAGAUUAGCCUGUGCAGACUGCACAAACAUUAAGUCCUAUUAAAGUGUCAUCCCAGAUUAGCCUGUGCAGACUGCACAUACAUUUAGUCCUAUUAAAGUGUCAUCCCAGAUUAGCCUGUGCAGACUGCACAUACAUUAAGCCCUAUUUUCCCAGAAUGAGGCUUGUAUACUUCACUUAACAUCAGUAUUUUAUGUGCCUGAAAAGUUCCUAGCAUCAAAUGGGAAUUAUGUGCUUUUAAAUUGAUCACACUAAGUAAAUAAAAUGCAAAUAGCACUUGAUCUGAUAUCAAUUUUAAUCAUAGAAGGUCAGGGCAUGAAGUUUUGUAUAUUUUCGACCGAAAUUCAGCCCCUGAACCAAAAGUUUAUCCUUGCAGAAAAAUCUGCUUUAAUAGAAUUGUAAAAUUAUAUUUAAUGUAGUAAAAUAAUUAUGUAAAAGCCUUCAGCUCAUUUCAAUAUUAUUUUCUUUAUUUAUUUUCAAUAUUUAUUUAAAUUACUAGAUUUUGUUUUAAGAGCCUGUUCCUACAGGAACCCAUGCACUCAUAGAUCGGUACCUAGCUGAACAACAGGCUGUCUGGUCAGCUGGGCCCAGACGCCCAGUGACACUUCCUGGCCGAGGACCUUUGGGCAAAUGCUCAACUAGUCCUACCCACAGGGUGGAGCCACACUGAUCCUGGGGCUCCAUACUUUCUUGGCCAGGGGCCAAGAUAACCUCGCCAAUAAGGGACUCAUUCCUGGGAUGCCCUAAGGUCUUUCUAUCUGUUCACAGAGGUCUUAUACUCACAAGUUCAAGCCCAUUGAGCGAUGUUCACAUUAUCAAACUCUGCAUCUCAAUAGAAACCCGGAUAGCAAAGCGUUGGUUUGUUUUUGAAACAUUUGAACCAGCAACAGUCAUCAUUGGAGUUUCUGACAUGUCUAUGGUGUGGAACCCUCAGUCUAUGAACAUCAUAACAGCACAUGAACCAGCAGCAGUCAUCAUCUCAAGAUUCUGGUAUAUCCAUGGUACAGGACCCUUAGUCUGUACAGAUCUUGCAGAACAAACUUCAGAUGCAAUUUGAGAAAAUCAAACCAUCCAAUCUGUUGCAGCAAUUGUUAACAUAUUGAUCCCAGUCAAACCUAAGAAGCUCAGAGUUACAUACUGUUUAACAUGUGCUAGUCUUCAUAUACCUCCUGGUUUGUUCAGCACUUACUCUUUGAAUGUUAUGACGGGUGAAAAUGAAUGACCUUGUUCAGAUCGAAAUUGCAGAAUGACACAUCACAACAAUUCAAGUGGAAAGCCACAAAGCCAUGUCAACAGCCACAUGUUGUAUGUUGCCAGCCAAGCUGUAUUAAAAAACACAAUAGCUUACGUUUUAUGUUAUAUGUGACCAACCAAGUUAUAUUCAUACAAAAACAAUAGUUUAUGCUUUAUGGGAAUUGUUAUGCUGUCAGUCUUUAUGUUGAAAUAUUGUGUUCAAUAUAGCAUGUUAAGUAUUUUAAAAGCACGCAUAUUGCUCGUAUAUGCAAUCUCUUUGUCUAUAUUAUGAUAUCACUACAUAUUGUGAUCCCGAUAAUGGUAAACUAAUGGGAAAUAUGCUUUAAUCAAAGACUUUCAAAGUGUGACAAAGCUGUCUAAAUGAGGUUGGUAACUUGGACAACAUUAAUAAAAUAUUGGAGUAUUUUCAUGUUAUAAAACAUGUUUCAGUUUUCUGUUUUUUUACCCGUAUUAUAGAUAAGCUAGAUAAAAGUAGUGUAAAGAAAGGUUUAGAAGUUUUACGCUUCAGCUUUUCUGUUUAUCAAUCUUUCUAAAAAAAAUACUAAUAAAUUUGCACAUUCGGGUCGGUUUUCGAACAAGAAUCUUGUUUAAUAGCAUUCGUGGAAAUCCAAAUAAAUUAUGUGCACACUUAUGUAAUUUACCUAAAAGUGUCGAUUCUGUAUUUACUACCAGUACUUUGUUGAUUUCAAUGGAUAUUGUUUGUUAAAUAGUCGAGAAUGGCUCUUGCAUUUUUGGGAAAACUUUAAGGAAAACCUGAAAAUUAAAAAAAACAUUUUUUUCGAGUUUUAUUAAAAGUGGCAAAAGUUAUAAAUGUUAUUUUGUGUUGUUAGAUCAUAGACUUAGAUGCUCAUAAGUGUUUAAAUUUAUUUUCGGACAUAAUAGUUUAUAAUGCUUUAUAUUUGUAUAUGCAUAUGAAGACGACCAAAAUGUAUCCUCUUUAAUCACUGAGUAUCUUACUGGUAAUCAAUAUCUCUUGAUCACUGCAUACAUUGUAGAGGUAUAUUUGACAUUUAUAUACAGAGCAACACUGUGAAACAAUAGUAUUUUAAACGUACAUUAUUUAUUUAUUGUUGCAAUUGUUAUAAGAUAAACUCACUGUUUACAUUAAUUUGUACACAUCAUAGUCAUAAAAAAUAUUGAUUGUGUGAAUCCUCAUAUAUGUAUUGAACUGUUAAAAUAAUGCACAGUAACAGAUUCUGAAGAGAAAAAUGUACUCAAUGAAAUAUAAACACCUUGUUAUAUCAACUGCUUUGAAUGAAGAACAACUACUUAAAAUAAGUUUAAUUUUGUUUUACAUUAUCUAAAGAAAAUUUAGUACCUUGUUAUUUGAAAUCAGUCAUUCACAAAUUAAGGAAUAGUGUUGUCAUAUGCUAACAAUUGUCAAAAAAAUGAAAUUGUCUCUAUUGGUAGAGUAGAGAGCAAUAGUAUUUGCUUAACAAAAUAUAAACAAAGAUGUCUGCUUUGUAAGUGUAUGUGGAAUAAACACUUAUGUUUGUGCUUAUAUUAAACGUGAAUGUAUUGACGUAUUGCUGAUAAUAAAGUUUGACAUUUUAUUAGUUUUGUAACAAUGUGUUUGACCUUUUAUGUUAACAUUCCCACAAUUGAUGUCAGCGCAGUGCCUUCAAUGGAGUCAUUUUCUGUAAAUCUCCCACUGUUAAAGUUCAGCAAAUGUUUUAAGACCAGAUUUCCUUAAACUUGGAGUUGUUUAUAUUUAACAUUUUUUGAAUGCAUGAAACAUGUUUUUUAUGUUGUAGAAUAGCUGAAACUAGCUUGAUGUUUGUAAAUUGUUUGACAUGUUAAUCAAAUUGAUAAUAGAGACCAACACUCAUUAUGCGUUAAUUUGUAUGUUUAGCUAAACAAAAAAUGUUAACAAACACAAAUAUAAGAUAUAUUCGUAAAACAGUAUCAAAUGCAAUUUGAAAUAUAAUGUUUAAAUAUGUUCGUCAACUCCAAAUAAGCAUUUUGAAUAAGCAAAUUAAUACAUAAAUACUCUCUAAGGAAAGUACACGCAGGCACUUUUCAAUCGCUUGUGUACUUCAUAAUAAUCAGGGUCUUUCUAAAUUCAUGCAUGAUUUUUUAUGCCUAUGUCUGAAUUGUGUAAAUAUCUGUUAAAUCACUGUUAAAAAGGAUUUAUAUAUUAAAAGUUAAAAUAGUGUCUAAACUUUAACCGGGCAUCUGUUGCAUUUAUUUUUACGUGUUUAUAUUUUCUGGCUUACUGUGCUUAAUUUUGUCUAUAAUUGUGCGUACUUGUAUUGUGGUUUUCAUAUUAAGACAAAGCGCACUACACUUAUGCUGUUGUUUUUGUCCACCAUUUCUAUACAAAAUGUUGUAUGUAAAUAAUUAAGCAUGUUGAUGUUGGUAAUAAUGUAUUUCCUGAUCUAAUAUUGAUGAUGCACUCAAUAAAGUACAUAACCAUUUAUGUGGACUAGUAUUGUUUAGUGAUAUUUUGUUGUUAUUACUAAUAAAAUCUUCAAGGAUUG
Dreissena polymorpha is the source of this 4988-nucleotide long non-coding RNA. RefSeq lists it as uncharacterized. The record is from RefSeq and is a predicted model, not a curated record. The transcript has 5 exons. NCBI's taxonomy places the organism in Eukaryota, Metazoa, Mollusca, Bivalvia, Myida, Dreissenidae.